GUGCCGGAGCAGACCAACAGGGAUUGCCUUAGUAACGGCGAGUGAAGCGGCAAUAGCUCAAAUUUGAAAUCUGGCGCUUGCGUCCGAGUUGUAAUUUGUAGAGGAUGAUUUUGGUUAGGUACCUUUCGAGUUCCUUGGAACAGGACGCCUUAGAGGGUGAGAGCCCCGUACGAUUGGAUGCCGAGCCUCUGUAAAUCUCCUUCGACGAGUCGAGUAGUUUGGGAAUGCUGCUCUAAAUGGGAGGUAAAUUUCUUCUAAAGCUAAAUACCGGCCAGAGACCGAUAGCGCACAAGUAGAGUGAUCGAAAGAUGAAAAGCACUUUGAAAAGAGGGUUAAAUAGCACGUGAAAUUGUUGAAAGGGAAGGAUUUAUGACCAGACUUUUUCUAGGAGGAUCAUCCGGUGUUCUCACCGGUGCACUUCUUCUAGUUUAGGCCAGCAUCGACUUCUGGCGGCGGAUAAAAGCUUUAGGAAUGUGGCUCCCUACGGGGAGUGUUAUAGCCUAUUGUAUAAUACGCUGCUGGGGGUCGAGGUACGCGCUUCUGCAAGGAUGCUGGCGUAAUGGUUAUCAAUCACCCGUCUUGAAACACGGACCAAGGAGUCGAACAUUUAUGCGAGUGUUUGGGUGUUAAACCCUCACGCGUAAUGAAAGUGAACGGAGGUGAGAGCCCUUACGGGUGCAUCAUCGACCGAUCCUGAAGUUUUCGGAUGGAUUUGAGUAAGAGCAUAACUGUUCGGACCCGAAACAUAGU
This 750-nucleotide ribosomal RNA is filed under the name Heterotruncatella spartii. RNAcentral's name for it is "partial 28S ribosomal RNA". It matches the Rfam family "Eukaryotic large subunit ribosomal RNA", at positions 50 to 827 of the family's 3401-position model. Lineage: Eukaryota; Fungi; Ascomycota; Sordariomycetes; Amphisphaeriales; Sporocadaceae. The record is from RNAcentral.